RNAcentral lists this unclassified non-coding RNA (351 nucleotides) under soil metagenome. RNAcentral describes it as "partial contains 5.8S ribosomal RNA, internal transcribed spacer 2, and large subunit ribosomal RNA". The stretch from base 5 to 121 matches the Rfam family "5.8S ribosomal RNA", at positions 38 to 154 of the family's 154-position model. The record is from RNAcentral.
GAUGGAAGAACGCAGCGAACUGCGAUAAGUAAUGUGAAUUGCAGAAUUCAGUGAAUCAUCGAGUCUUUGAACGCACAUUGCGCCCCCUGGCAUUCCGGGGGGCAUGCCUGUCCGAGCGUCAUUGCUGCCCUUCAAGCCCGGCUUGUGUGUUGGGUCGUCGUCCCCCCCGGGGGACGGGCCCGAAAGGCAGCGGCGGCACCGCGUCCGGUCCUCGAGCGUAUGGGGCUUUGUCACCCGCUCGAUUAGGGCCGGCCGGGCGCCAGCCGGCGUCUCCAACCUUCUAUUUUACCAGGUUGACCUCGGAUCAGGUAGGGAUACCCGCUGAACUUAAGCAUAUCAAUAAGCGGAGGA